Molecule: ribosomal RNA, 734 nt
Filed under: uncultured bacterium
Lineage: Bacteria
Description: bacterial SSU rRNA
Rfam family: Bacterial small subunit ribosomal RNA
Source: RNAcentral
GAGUUUGAUCCUGGCUCAGAACGAACGCUGGCGGCAGGCUUAACACAUGCAAGUCGAGCGCCCCGCAAGGGGAGCGGCAGACGGGUGAGUAACGCGUGGGAACAUACCCUCCGGUUCGGAAUAGCUCAGGGAAACUUGGAUUAAUACCGGAUACGGCCUAGCGGCGAAAGAUUCAUCGCCGGAGGAUUGGCCCGCGUUCGAUUAGCUAGUUGGUGAGGUAACGGCUCACCAAGGCGACGAUCGAUAGCUGGUCUGAGAGGAUGAUCAGCCACAUUGGGACUGAGACACGGCCCAAACUCCUACGGGAGGCAGCAGUGGGGAAUAUUGGACAAUGGGCGCAAGCCUGAUCCAGCCAUGCCGCGUGAGUGAUGACGGCCUUAGGGUUGUAAAGCUCUUUCGCUAGGGACGAUAAUGACGGUACCUAGACAAGAAGCCCCGGCUAACUUCGUGCCAGCAGCCGCGGUAAUACGAAGGGGGCUAGCGUUGUUCGGAAUUACUGGGCGUAAAGCGCGUGUAGGCGGGCUUUUAAGUCAGGGGUGAAAUGCCAAGGCUCAACCUUGGAACUGCCUUUGAUACUGGAAGUCUUGAGUCCGGGAGAGGUGAGUGGAACUGCGAGUGUAGGGGUGAAAUUCGUAGAUAUUCGCAAGAACACCAGUGGCGAAGGCGGCUCACUGGCCCGGAACUGACGCUGAGACGCGAAAGCGUGGGGAGCAAACAGGAUUAGAUACCCUGGU